GAUGAACGCUGGCGGCGUGCCUAAUACAUGCAAGUCGAGCGAACAGACCAGGCGCUUGUUCCUCUGUCGUUAGCGGCGGACGGGUGAGUAACAUGAGUAUAACCUACCUAUCUGUCUGGGAUCAUUUCGGGAAACCGGAGCUAAUCCCGUAUAAUAUAUUGCACCAUACUGUUCGUUAGUGAAAUACGGUUUUUGUGGCUCUUAUCGAUGCUUCCCCGCCGCAUUUGCUAGUUGUUAAGGUAACGGCUUACCAAGGCAACUAUGCGUAGCCGAAGUAAGAGGAUGGUCGGCCGCACUGGAACUGAAACGGGGUCCUGACUCCUGCGGGAGGCAGCAGAAGGGAAUCUUCCGCAAUAGGCGGAAGCUUGACGGAACGGGGGCAAGUGAGUGAUGGAAGUCUUCGGAUCGGAAAACUCUGUUAUUGGGGAUAAACAGAUGUGGAAGUAGCUGUACACGGCUUGACGGUACCUGAUCAGGAAGCCCCGGCUAACUACGUG
Molecule: ribosomal RNA, 497 nt
Filed under: uncultured bacterium
Lineage: Bacteria
Description: partial 16S ribosomal RNA
Rfam family: Bacterial small subunit ribosomal RNA
Source: RNAcentral